RNAcentral lists this ribosomal RNA (331 nucleotides) under uncultured bacterium. RNAcentral describes it as "partial 16S ribosomal RNA". It matches the Rfam family "Bacterial small subunit ribosomal RNA", at positions 338 to 666 of the family's 1533-position model. The record is from RNAcentral.
CCUACGGGUGGCAGCAGUGAGGAAUAUUGGUCAAUGGGCGCGAGCCUGAACCAGCCAAGUAGCGUGAAGGAUGACUGCCCUACGGGUCGUAAACUUCUUUUAUAAAGGAAUAAAGUGAGGCACGUGUGCCUUUUUGUAUGUACUUUAUGAAUAAGGAUCGGCUAACUCCGUGCCAGCAGCCGCGGUAAUACGGAGGAUCCGAGCGUUAUCCGGAUUUAUUGGGUUUAAAGGGAGCGUAGAUGGGUGUUUAAGUCAGUUGUGAAAGUUUGCGGCUCAACCGUAAAAUUGCAUUUGAUACUGGGUGUCGUGAGGGCAGUAGAGGGAGGUGGAA